UUGGAAUAAUUUGAAUUCAAUGGAGAUACAAAAUGACUAACCUAAAUUAAAUAAUCACAAAAGAAAAAAUAAAGAAAAAUGACUCUACAAGAAAAUAAAAUUAGAUGAGGAAAAGAGAAAGUGAUAAAGGCAAGAAUCAAACUAAGGACCUGGUGGGAGACAGGAGAAGUCUCAACCACCAGGCCAGGAGCGGUUGGCUGGAAGUUUAACACGUCCAC
This 218-nucleotide long non-coding RNA is filed under the name Lathyrus oleraceus (garden pea). Its description in RNAcentral is "Pisum sativum (pea) long non-coding RNA (PSAT_LNC002446)". The record is from RNAcentral. Lineage: Eukaryota; Viridiplantae; Streptophyta; Magnoliopsida; Fabales; Fabaceae.